This 2906-nucleotide ribosomal RNA is filed under the name Escherichia coli. Its description in RNAcentral is "23S ribosomal RNA". It matches the Rfam family "Bacterial large subunit ribosomal RNA". The record is from RNAcentral. Lineage: Bacteria; Pseudomonadati; Pseudomonadota; Gammaproteobacteria; Enterobacterales; Enterobacteriaceae.
GGUUAAGCGACUAAGCGUACACGGUGGAUGCCCUGGCAGUCAGAGGCGAUGAAGGACGUGCUAAUCUGCGAUAAGCGUCGGUAAGGUGAUAUGAACCGUUAUAACCGGCGAUUUCCGAAUGGGGAAACCCAGUGUGAUUCGUCACACUAUCAUUAACUGAAUCCAUAGGUUAAUGAGGCGAACCGGGGGAACUGAAACAUCUAAGUACCCCGAGGAAAAGAAAUCAACCGAGAUUCCCCCAGUAGCGGCGAGCGAACGGGGAGCAGCCCAGAGCCUGAAUCAGUGUGUGUGUUAGUGGAAGCGUCUGGAAAGGCGCGCGAUACAGGGUGACAGCCCCGUACACAAAAAUGCACAUACUGUGAGCUCGAUGAGUAGGGCGGGACACGUGGUAUCCUGUCUGAAUAUGGGGGGACCAUCCUCCAAGGCUAAAUACUCCUGACUGACCGAUAGUGAACCAGUACCGUGAGGGAAAGGCGAAAAGAACCCCGGCGAGGGGAGUGAAAAAGAACCUGAAACCGUGUACGUACAAGCAGUGGGAGCACAGAGCAAUCUGUGUGACUGCGUACCUUUUGUAUAAUGGGUCAGCGACUUAUAUUCUGUAGCAAGGUUAACCGAAUAGGGGAGCCGAAGGGAAACCGAGUCUUAACUGGGCGUUAAGUUGCAGGGUAUAGACCCGAAACCCGGUGAUCUAGCCAUGGGCAGGUUGAAGGUUGGGUAACACUAACUGGAGGACCGAACCGACUAAUGUUGAAAAAUUAGCGGAUGACUUGUGGCUGGGGGUGAAAGGCCAAUCAAACCGGGAGAUAGCUGGUUCUCCCCGAAAGCUAUUUAGGUAGCGCCUCGUGAAUUCAUCUCCGGGGGUAGAGCACUGUUUCGGCAAGGGGGUCAUCCCGACUUACCAACCCGAUGCAAACUGCGAAUACCGGAGAAUGUUAUCACGGGAGACACACGGCGGGUGCUAACGUCCGUCGUGAAGAGGGAAACAACCCAGACCGCCAGCUAAGGUCCCAAAGUCAUGGUUAAGUGGGAAACGAUGUGGGAAGGCCCAGACAGCCAGGAUGUUGGCUUAGAAGCAGCCAUCAUUUAAAGAAAGCGUAAUAGCUCACUGGUCGAGUCGGCCUGCGCGGAAGAUGUAACGGGGCUAAACCAUGCACCGAAGCUGCGGCAGCGACGCUUAUGCGUUGUUGGGUAGGGGAGCGUUCUGUAAGCCUGCGAAGGUGUGCUGUGAGGCAUGCUGGAGGUAUCAGAAGUGCGAAUGCUGACAUAAGUAACGAUAAAGCGGGUGAAAAGCCCGCUCGCCGGAAGACCAAGGGUUCCUGUCCAACGUUAAUCGGGGCAGGGUGAGUCGACCCCUAAGGCGAGGCCGAAAGGCGUAGUCGAUGGGAAACAGGUUAAUAUUCCUGUACUUGGUGUUACUGCGAAGGGGGGACGGAGAAGGCUAUGUUGGCCGGGCGACGGUUGUCCCGGUUUAAGCGUGUAGGCUGGUUUUCCAGGCAAAUCCGGAAAAUCAAGGCUGAGGCGUGAUGACGAGGCACUACGGUGCUGAAGCAACAAAUGCCCUGCUUCCAGGAAAAGCCUCUAAGCAUCAGGUAACAUCAAAUCGUACCCCAAACCGACACAGGUGGUCAGGUAGAGAAUACCAAGGCGCUUGAGAGAACUCGGGUGAAGGAACUAGGCAAAAUGGUGCCGUAACUUCGGGAGAAGGCACGCUGAUAUGUAGGUGAAGUCCCUCGCGGAUGGAGCUGAAAUCAGUCGAAGAUACCAGCUGGCUGCAACUGUUUAUUAAAAACACAGCACUGUGCAAACACGAAAGUGGACGUAUACGGUGUGACGCCUGCCCGGUGCCGGAAGGUUAAUUGAUGGGGUCAGCGCAAGCGAAGCUCUUGAUCGAAGCCCCGGUAAACGGCGGCCGUAACUAUAACGGUCCUAAGGUAGCGAAAUUCCUUGUCGGGUAAGUUCCGACCUGCACGAAUGGCGUAAUGAUGGCCAGGCUGUCUCCACCCGAGACUCAGUGAAAUUGAACUCGCUGUGAAGAUGCAGUGUACCCGCGGCAAGACGGAAAGACCCCGUGAACCUUUACUAUAGCUUGACACUGAACAUUGAGCCUUGAUGUGUAGGAUAGGUGGGAGGCUUUGAAGUGUGGACGCCAGUCUGCAUGGAGCCGACCUUGAAAUACCACCCUUUAAUGUUUGAUGUUCUAACGUUGACCCGUGAUCCGGGUUGCGGACAGUGUCUGGUGGGUAGUUUGACUGGGGCGGUCUCCUCCUAAAGAGUAACGGAGGAGCACGAAGGUUGGCUAAUCCUGGUCGGACAUCAGGAGGUUAGUGCAAUGGCAUAAGCCAGCUUGACUGCGAGCGUGACGGCGCGAGCAGGUGCGAAAGCAGGUCAUAGUGAUCCGGUGGUUCUGAAUGGAAGGGCCAUCGCUCAACGGAUAAAAGGUACUCCGGGGAUAACAGGCUGAUACCGCCCAAGAGUUCAUAUCGACGGCGGUGUUUGGCACCUCGAUGUCGGCUCAUCACAUCCUGGGGCUGAAGUAGGUCCCAAGGGUAUGGCUGUUCGCCAUUUAAAGUGGUACGCGAGCUGGGUUUAGAACGUCGUGAGACAGUUCGGUCCCUAUCUGCCGUGGGCGCUGGAGAACUGAGGGGGGCUGCUCCUAGUACGAGAGGACCGGAGUGGACGCAUCACUGGUGUUCGGGUUGUCAUGCCAAUGGCACUGCCCGGUAGCUAAAUGCGGAAGAGAUAAGUGCUGAAAGCAUCUAAGCACGAAACUUGCCCCGAGAUGAGUUCUCCCUGACUCCUUGAGAGUCCUGAAGGAACGUUGAAGACGACGACGUUGAUAGGCCGGGUGUGUAAGCGCAGCGAUGCGUUGAGCUAACCGGUACUAAUGAACCGUGAGGCUUAACCUU